RNAcentral lists this ribosomal RNA (582 nucleotides) under Malassezia furfur. RNAcentral describes it as "eukaryotic LSU rRNA". It matches the Rfam family "Eukaryotic large subunit ribosomal RNA", at positions 66 to 635 of the family's 3401-position model. The record is from RNAcentral. Lineage: Eukaryota; Fungi; Basidiomycota; Malasseziomycetes; Malasseziales; Malasseziaceae.
UAACAAGGAUUCCCCUAGUAACGGCGAGUGAAGAGGGAAGAGCUCAAAUUUGAAAGCUGGUACCUUCGGUAUCCGCGUUGUAACCUCGAGACACGUUUUCCGUGCGGCGCUAUGGACAAGUUCCUUGGAACAGGACAUCGUAGAGGGUGAAAAUCCCGUACUUGCCAUGGAUGUACCGUGCUUUGCGAUACGUGCUCUAAGAGUCGAGUUGUUUGGGAUUGCAGCUCAAAAUGGGUGGUAGACUCCAUCUAAAGCUAAAUAUCGGGGAGAGACCGAUAGCGAACAAGUACCGUGAGGGAAAGAUGAAAAGCACUUUGGAAAGAGAGUUAAAAGUACGUGAAAUUGUCGAAAGGGAAGCGCUUGAAGUCAGCCAUGCCGCUCAGGACUCAGCCUGGCUUUUGCUUGGUGUAUUUCCUGGGUAGCAAGUCAGCAUUGGUUUGGAUCGUCGGAGAAGCAUAGUCGGAAUGUGGCGCCCUCGGGCGUGUUAUAGCCUUCUAUUGGAUACGACGAUCUAGACCAAGGAACGCAGCGCGCCUUAUGGCGGGUCUUCGGACACCUUCCCGCUUAGGAUGCUGGCGUAAU